Molecule: ribosomal RNA, 472 nt
Filed under: uncultured bacterium
Lineage: Bacteria
Description: bacterial SSU rRNA
Rfam family: Bacterial small subunit ribosomal RNA
Source: RNAcentral
GACGAACGCUGGCGGCGUGCUUAACACAUGCAAGUCGAACGGAGAUAUAUAAAUAGUUUACUAUGGAUAUAUUUUAGUGGCGGACGGGUGAGUAACACGUGGGCAACCUGCCUUAGAGUGGGGGAUAACAACGAGAAAUCGUUGCUAAUACCGCAUGAAAUUAGAUUAUCGCAUGAUAGUUUAAUGAAAGGAGAAAUCCGCUAAAAGAUGGGCCCGCGCCUGAUUAGCUAGUUGGUGAGGUAAAAGCUCACCAAGGCGACGAUCAGUAGCCGAUCUGAGAGGAUGACCGGCCACACUGGAACUGAGACACGGUCCAGACUCCUACGGGAGGCAGCAGUGGGGAAUAUUGCACAAUGGGGGAAACCCUGAUGCAGCAACGCCGCGUGGAGGAAGAAGGUUUUCGGAUUGUAAACUCCUGUCUUUUGGGACGAUAAUGACGGUACCAAAAGAGGAAGCCACGGCUAACUACGUG